Molecule: ribosomal RNA, 682 nt
Filed under: uncultured bacterium
Lineage: Bacteria
Description: bacterial SSU rRNA
Rfam family: Bacterial small subunit ribosomal RNA
Source: RNAcentral
UCAAAGAUGGGUCUGCGUCUGAUUAGCUGGUUGGUGGGGUAACGGCCUACCAAGGCGACGAUCAGUAGCCGGUCUGAGAGGAUGAACGGCCACAUUGGGACUGAGACACGGCCCAGACUCCUACGGGAGGCAGCAGUGGGGAAUCUUCCACAAUGGACGAAAGUCUGAUGGAGCAACGCCGCGUGAGUGAAGAAGGGUUUCGGCUCGUAAAGCUCUGUUGUCGGGGACGAAUGUGCAGUAUUUGAAUAAAGUACUGUAAUGACGGUACCUGACGAGGAAGCCACGGCUAACUACGUGCCAGCAGCCGCGGUAAUACGUAGGUGGCAAGCGUUGUCCGGAAUUAUUGGGCGUAAAGGAAGUGCAGGCGGAAAUGUAAGUCAGACGUAAAAUUGCGGGGCUCAACUUCGUGAUGGGAUCUAAACUAGCAUUCUUGAAUGGAAGAAAAGAAAGUGGAAUUUCUAAUGGAACGGUGAAAUGGCUAGAUGUUAGGAAGAACUCCAAUGGCCAAAGGCACUUUCUGGAAUGGAACUGACGCUUAAGCUCUAAAGCCAUGGGAACGAACGGGAUUAGAUUCCCCUGUAGUCCUGGGCGUUAACCAAGAAUUCUAAGGGGUGGGAAGGAUUCGACCUCUUUCGGGGCCGGAGUUUACGCCAAUAAGUAUUUCCGCCUGGGGGAAUACCGG